This 2902-nucleotide ribosomal RNA is filed under the name Escherichia coli. RNAcentral's name for it is "bacterial LSU rRNA". It matches the Rfam family "Bacterial large subunit ribosomal RNA". The record is from RNAcentral. Lineage: Bacteria; Pseudomonadati; Pseudomonadota; Gammaproteobacteria; Enterobacterales; Enterobacteriaceae.
UUAAGCGACUAAGCGUACACGGUGGAUGCCCUGGCAGUCAGAGGCGAUGAAGGACGUGCUAAUCUGCGAUAAGCGUCGGUGAGGUGAUAUGAACCGUUAUAACCGGCGAUUUCCGAAUGGGGAAACCCAGUGUGUUUCGACACACUAUCAUUAACUGAAUCCAUAGGUUAAUGAGGCGAACCGGGGGAACUGAAACAUCUAAGUACCCCGAGGAAAAGAAAUCAACCGAGAUUCCCCCAGUAGCGGCGAGCGAACGGGGAGCAGCCCAGAGCCUGAAUCAGUGUGUGUGUUAGUGGAAGCGUCUGGAAAGGCGCGCGAUACAGGGUGACAGCCCCGUACACAAAAAUGCACAUGCUGUGAGCUCGAUGAGUAGGGCGGGACACGUGGUAUCCUGUCUGAAUAUGGGGGGACCAUCCUCCAAGGCUAAAUACUCCUGACUGACCGAUAGUGAACCAGUACCGUGAGGGAAAGGCGAAAAGAACCCCGGCGAGGGGAGUGAAAAAGAACCUGAAACCGUGUACGUACAAGCAGUGGGAGCCUCUUAAUGGGGUGACUGCGUACCUUUUGUAUAAUGGGUCAGCGACUUAUAUUCUGUAGCAAGGUUAACCGAAUAGGGGAGCCGAAGGGAAACCGAGUCUUAACUGGGCGUUAAGUUGCAGGGUAUAGACCCGAAACCCGGUGAUCUAGCCAUGGGCAGGUUGAAGGUUGGGUAACACUAACUGGAGGACCGAACCGACUAAUGUUGAAAAAUUAGCGGAUGACUUGUGGCUGGGGGUGAAAGGCCAAUCAAACCGGGAGAUAGCUGGUUCUCCCCGAAAGCUAUUUAGGUAGCGCCUCGUGAAUUCAUCUCCGGGGGUAGAGCACUGUUUCGGCAAGGGGGUCAUCCCGACUUACCAACCCGAUGCAAACUGCGAAUACCGGAGAAUGUUAUCACGGGAGACACACGGCGGGUGCUAACGUCCGUCGUGAAGAGGGAAACAACCCAGACCGCCAGCUAAGGUCCCAAAGUCAUGGUUAAGUGGGAAACGAUGUGGGAAGGCCCAGACAGCCAGGAUGUUGGCUUAGAAGCAGCCAUCAUUUAAAGAAAGCGUAAUAGCUCACUGGUCGAGUCGGCCUGCGCGGAAGAUGUAACGGGGCUAAACCAUGCACCGAAGCUGCGGCAGCGACGCUUAUGCGUUGUUGGGUAGGGGAGCGUUCUGUAAGCCUGUGAAGGUGUACUGUGAGGUAUGCUGGAGGUAUCAGAAGUGCGAAUGCUGACAUAAGUAACGAUAAAGCGGGUGAAAAGCCCGCUCGCCGGAAGACCAAGGGUUCCUGUCCAACGUUAAUCGGGGCAGGGUGAGUCGACCCCUAAGGCGAGGCCGAAAGGCGUAGUCGAUGGGAAACAGGUUAAUAUUCCUGUACUUGGUGUUACUGCGAAGGGGGGACGGAGAAGGCUAUGUUGGCCGGGCGACGGUUGUCCCGGUUUAAGCGUGUAGGCUGGUUUUCCAGGCAAAUCCGGAAAAUCAAGGCUGAGGCGUGAUGACGAGGCACUACGGUGCUGAAGCAACAAAUGCCCUGCUUCCAGGAAAAGCCUCUAAGCAUCAGGUAACAUCAAAUCGUACCCCAAACCGACACAGGUGGUCAGGUAGAGAAUACCAAGGCGCUUGAGAGAACUCGGGUGAAGGAACUAGGCAAAAUGGUGCCGUAACUUCGGGAGAAGGCACGCUGAUAUGUAGGUGAAGUCCCUCGCGGAUGGAGCUGAAAUCAGUCGAAGAUACCAGCUGGCUGCAACUGUUUAUUAAAAACACAGCACUGUGCAAACACGAAAGUGGACGUAUACGGUGUGACGCCUGCCCGGUGCCGGAAGGUUAAUUGAUGGGGUUAGCGGUAACGCGAAGCUCUUGAUCGAAGCCCCGGUAAACGGCGGCCGUAACUAUAACGGUCCUAAGGUAGCGAAAUUCCUUGUCGGGUAAGUUCCGACCUGCACGAAUGGCGUAAUGAUGGCCAGGCUGUCUCCACCCGAGACUCAGUGAAAUUGAACUCGCUGUGAAGAUGCAGUGUACCCGCGGCAAGACGGAAAGACCCCGUGAACCUUUACUAUAGCUUGACACUGAACAUUGAGCCUUGAUGUGUAGGAUAGGUGGGAGGCUUUGAAGUGUGGACGCCAGUCUGCAUGGAGCCGGCCUUGAAAUACCACCCUUUAAUGUUUGAUGUUCUAACGUUGGCCCCUGACCGGGGUUGCGGACAGUGUCUGGUGGGUAGUUUGACUGGGGCGGUCUCCUCCUAAAGAGUAACGGAGGAGCACGAAGGUUGGCUAAUCCUGGUCGGACAUCAGGAGGUUAGUGCAAUGGCAUAAGCCAGCUUGACUGCGAGCGUGACGGCGCGAGCAGGUGCGAAAGCAGGUCAUAGUGAUCCGGUGGUUCUGAAUGGAAGGGCCAUCGCUCAACGGAUAAAAGGUACUCCGGGGAUAACAGGCUGAUACCGCCCAAGAGUUCAUAUCGACGGCGGUGUUUGGCACCUCGAUGUCGGCUCAUCACAUCCUGGGGCUGAAGUAGGUCCCAAGGGUAUGGCUGUUCGCCAUUUAAAGUGGUACGCGAGCUGGGUUUAGAACGUCGUGAGACAGUUCGGUCCCUAUCUGCCGUGGGCGCUGGAGAACUGAGGGGGGCUGCUCCUAGUACGAGAGGACCGGAGUGGACGCAUCACUGGUGUUCGGGUUGUCAUGCCAAUGGCACUGCCCGGUAGCUAAAUGCGGAAGAGAUAAGUGCUGAAAGCAUCUAAGCACGAAACUUGCCCCGAGAUGAGUUCUCCCUGACUCCUUGAGAGUCCUGAAGGAACGUUGAAGACGACGACGUUGAUAGGCCGGGUGUGUAAGCGCAGCGAUGCGUUGAGCUAACCGGUACUAAUGAACCGUGAGGCUUAACCU